NNGAUUUUACUUAUCAGGACUUGAGAUACUCCCCUUUCAUAUGGCAGGAAUGUUUAGGCAAAUUUGGGAAGAUAUUUCAGAAUAUUAUCAUGUGGGGUCCUUACGGGAUGUUCUUAAAAAAUUGUUCAGAAUGGAAUAUUACUGCUUGUGAUUUAUCUUCUACAUACAGAAUCCCGCCGAAAGAGAGAUGGAAUGAAACCAUUCGGAAUGACAAAUUGAUGGCCUGGGGUGAUGGCAGAAUUGCUGAUCCAUGCUUGGCUUCAGUGCAGUACCCUCAUCAUUUACAAACACAUUUAUGGAAAAUUGCUGCUGCAACGAAACCUGUAAUUUUGUCUAAUGGCUCUUUCUCUGGGACUAGUCAAUCUGCUGCUUCUUAUAAUUUUACUGUAUUUAAAGAAUAUAAUAUAACCACAUGUGUGCCCAUGCCAUACCUGUUCUUAAUUGGAAAUGUUACUUUUGAUGAGGGAAUUUUAUGCUUUAAUUGUAAAUUGUAUACCUAUAUUAAUACAUCUGUUUCUAUUCCUCCUGGUUAUUCCAUUGUGCUGUUACAACAGCGCUCUCACAUUUGGCUUCCUGUAAAUUUACAAAGAACAUGGUCCCAAGAUCCUGUAAAUACUUUGGUUCUGGAAUUUUUUAGACAAUUGUUAAAACGUACUAAACGUUUUGUAGGAGUUGUUGUUGCUGUAAUUCUAAGUCUUAUUGCAGUGACUACAGUCGCUACAGUUUCAGGGAUAGCUUUACAUACUUCUUUACAAACAAAACAUUUUGUUGAGGAAUGGCAUAAAGAUUCGCAUGAGUUAUGGCUAUCCCAGACUCAAAUUGAUUCUAGACUUCAAACUCAAAUAGAUAUUUUAAGACAGACAGUUAAUUGGUUAGGAAAAAAGAUACUCACCUUAGAACAAGAAAUUGGAUUAAAAUGUGACUGGAUGGGGCUGGGGAUGUGGCUCAAGCGGUAGCACGCUCACCUGGCAUGCGUGCGGCCCGGGUUCGAUCCUCAGCACCACAUACAAACAACGAUGUUGUGUCUGCCGAAAAACUAAAAAAUAAAUAUUAAAAUUCUCUCUCUCUUUAAAAAAAAUUAAAAAAAAAAGUGACUGGAAUUCAACUUCUUUCUGUAUAACUAAUAUACAAUAUAAUCAAAGCUUACACGAAUGGAAUAUCAUACAAAAUUAUCUCAAUGGUAAUGAAACAGCUCAAUUAAUGAUCGAUUCUUUACAAAAGGAUAUAUUUGAAAUU
This 1236-nucleotide long non-coding RNA is filed under the name Marmota monax (woodchuck). The record is from RNAcentral. Lineage: Eukaryota; Metazoa; Chordata; Mammalia; Rodentia; Sciuridae.